This 253-nucleotide ribosomal RNA is filed under the name uncultured bacterium. RNAcentral describes it as "partial 16S ribosomal RNA". It matches the Rfam family "Bacterial small subunit ribosomal RNA", at positions 524 to 776 of the family's 1533-position model. The record is from RNAcentral.
GACGUAGGGCGCGAGCGUUGUCCGGAUUUAUUGGGCGUAAAGAGCUCGUAGGCGGCUUGUCGCGUCGACUGUGAAAUCCCGCGGCUCAACCGCGGGUCUGCAGUCGAUACGGGCAGGCUAGAGUUCGGUAGGGGAGACUGGAAUUCCUGGUGUAGCGGUGAAAUGCGCAGAUAUCAGGAGGAACACCGGUGGCGAAGGCGGAUCUCUGGGCCGAUACUGACGCUGAGGAGCGAAAGCGUGGGGAGCGAACAGG